CCCACAAAAAAACUCCCUAUCUACUCAAAUUACAAACUCGUGAUUUUAAGAAAGGAGAGGUUCUUGAAAUUUGGGUUACAUUUCAGUUUAGUUAGAACUAGCUUGGCUAAAGCUAUGGACACCCCCCCUGUACUUUUUAAAGGGGAAGUGUAUUUUAAUAUUUCAUUCAGUUUAAGUGCAACUUACGGACGGCUAUUUGUUUAUAACAAUAUUGGUUUUAGAGAGAUCAAAAUGAUUAUUCCAGUAUACGACAGUUCAGAGGAAGAGAUUGGCUCAAGUACAGGGGUUCCUGGGCCUAGUACAAUGAAACCGAGUAUUAGCUCAUCUAGUGGCAUGCCCUAUAUAAUUCCGGAAAUUUCUGUAAAGUUGGCCGAUGUUGAUUUUCUUAAGGGGGUUGAUGUUGACUUCUGGUUGAUGUUGGGUUUUAUCUUUGCCGGAUUAUGGUUGGGUUUCAGGGCCCUUGAGAUUAUGAAAGGUAAUUAUUUCUAUCUUCGGAUCUGUUUUCGCCGAGUUCUUCGUUGUAUGUAAUGAAUAUCCAGAGACAAACACAGAGAACUCAAUCCAAACAAAACCAAAACCCGGGGUAGUUUAAUUCCACGUAUAAGGGGGGAGUCUGUGCUAAACAUCUGAGUAAUUAAUAUGUUGCUUUAGGGUGCUUGGCUGGCUGCCCGAGGGGUAGGCGGGGAAGGGGUGGAAGGGUUGGGGGAGAUAUAGUUCGUGCUAGACAUUCAUCCGGGGCAACUACAGCUUCAUGGAAUGAGGGGAGGAAUAAUGCUGGUUUUGAAGAGGUGGAAUUGCAAGCUAUUUCUCCAAGAUCCAGUCGACGGGGCGAUGAGGGUUUCAUUCGACUAACAAAUUAGCACGUGGAUAUUACUGCGCCAACAUGUGGAAUGUGGGGCGCGGUUUUAUACCUGACGCUGGUAGGAUUGAGCCAGGCGGGGAGUUCAGUUGCCCUAGAUCCAUAUCAUCGGCCGGGCUUUCACUUCUGAGAGACAUCUUGUACAGUGAAAACCUGGAGCAGUGGAACGGUUUAUGAAGUCAAACUUGCAGCAGGAGGAUUGUUGUCAGAGACACUACCCAACCUGAUGUACAUAUAUGUACAGUAUAAGGUUUACCUGGAUUAGCGGAUGAUUUAGAGGUUUGUGAAUCCGCUGGCAAUUUGUUGCUGAUGACGUUUGACAGUUUAAUCCUGAUGUACAGUGUCCAAGAGCCGUUAAAUGAGGUGUAAUUAAAACCAAGCUGUAACCUUUAUCUAGCAGCAAGGUGUAGUUCCAGGUAUAAUGACCAAUGCCAAAUUUUUCUUUAAUUGGCUUUUUAUUAUUUUAUUUAUGGCUCUCUUGGCCGUGUGCAACUGUAGCUAUGGGGCAAAUUUUUUAUCUAUAUUCGGCUCAAUUUAGUUAUCUCGGGGUUUACCUGGAAAAUUUAGUUCCUAAAGAUAAGUUCUGACAACGUAUGUAAACACAGAUGGAAAUGUUAAGAUGUACGGGAUUGAUUCAAAUUAAAAUAAGACGGAAGUUAUCUUUAAUGUAGCAAAGGUUGAACACAUUUGAGGUGAUUUUAGAGAGGGGAAGAACUACCUUGAAUUAAAUUCAAACGAAAUUUUUAAAUUUGUUU
Long non-coding RNA from Eurytemora carolleeae, 1614 nucleotides. RefSeq lists it as uncharacterized. The record is from RefSeq and is a predicted model, not a curated record. NCBI's taxonomy places the organism in Eukaryota, Metazoa, Arthropoda, Copepoda, Calanoida, Temoridae. The transcript has 4 exons.